Molecule: ribosomal RNA, 727 nt
Filed under: Triticum aestivum (bread wheat)
Lineage: Eukaryota; Viridiplantae; Streptophyta; Magnoliopsida; Poales; Poaceae
Description: partial small subunit ribosomal RNA
Source: RNAcentral
UUCUGCCCCCAGAACACAUCUGUGCUAGUUCUUAUCUUUAUCCGCAUCCUCGCCGGCGCGGCACACAACUCCUGUCCCCCACUGCAAACCAUUUGUUUCUCACCGAUGCGAGUGUCUCCCCGGAUUUGUGGUCAGCCAGCCACAGCGGCGCACGGCGUUGACUACUCCGAGCUGCCAGUGCGGCCGCACAAAUCUGCUUCCUCGCGCCGGAGUUAGUGUUGUGCUGCCACCGCCGGCAACAAGGCGGACAACCUUUUUGGUGUUGCAAUCAGUUGCGCCCUUCGACGGCGGAGUUGCAUCCGUGCACGCCGGAGCUGCAACCGGCGUUUUUGGGAGCUGCAAGGCAAAUAGAGGAUUCACAAACCCUCGAAGCACUCGCCAUAAGGGAAGCCUUGGCGCUCUAUAUUUGCGGCGAAUCCAUGUGGCAUCGGACUGCAAAGUGGUGGUUGAAGACAUGAAGAGGGAUAAUGUGGCAGGCUAUGAAGCGAUCAUACAUGAAAUAGUAGACCAUUCUGCGGCUUUUGAAUUUCGUAAUUUUAGUCAUGAAUUUAGGAGCUCAAACUGUGAAGCUCACAAUUUAGCGAAGCAUGCUCUUUUUCUCGGGGACGGUUGCCGUGUUUGGUUAGGACAUCCUAAAGAUCUUCCAUCCAUCUCUGUAAACAUUGUGACGAAUUAAUAAAAGCUUCGCGAGGUUGUCUCAAAAAAUGUACAACUCAUGUUACCCUAG